UAUCUUUACAACAAAUUGCAGAGUGUCAUGUCUCACUAGGAUGACAAUUUUUUAGAGUAAAGAAUAACAUAAUUUUCUUGCACUCUAAAAUGUGUACGAUAAUUGAACAAUAUCAUACAGUGGCAGGGAUUUUUAUUACUCUUGCAAAUUGUAUGAAACAAAAAUUAUUUUUGGAAAAAUACAUUGUGAUUCAUAUAUUGUGACUACUAUAUUGUGAUUGUUGCAUAAAACCUGUAUUGUUCCUGCAGUCCUAAUAUUUCAUCAUAUAUGUUAUUAUGUUUAUAUGUAACUUUAAACUUUUUAUUUAUGGUUUUCAUUAUCAUUUUACAAGCAUUGAUGCAUCUGACAGCUUCCAAAGGCUUGGAAAGUAGGUUAAUGAUGCAGCUAUAGACAACCCCAUCUUAUGCAUGUUAUGAGAAGUUAAAAGUGUUUAACAACUACUCCAGGCUUUUUCUUUGCAAGAAGGGAUAUUGAUAGAGGGAAGGAGAUCAGAUAUGACUAUGGUGAUCCCCAUGCCCAAUGGACAAUCUUCCUUGGAGUUCAUCACUCAUCAGGAAGCAUUUUGGAGGCAAACCCUGUUGCAGCAUUUCUACAUGUUCCACAGAUUGUGCAGACUAGUCAGGACCUUGUAAAUUCACAUGUUCAACAGCUUAGGCAAUUUAGUACAGAGUGGAUUAUUGAGGCAGACCCUGAUGGAAAACUUGCACAUGUUCCACAAACCAGUGAAGACCAUUUUGCAGAAUAUAAACUUCUUCCGCAGAUAAGCCAAGACCCUAAUGGUGUUCAUGUGUGUGUGGUUAAUUAUUUGCUCUGAAGCUGAUAUGUGGACUGAAUAUAAAACUGUCUUUUUCUACAGUUAAGUCCAUCUUAAUCUGAAAAUACUACCGGUACAUUUUGAAUUAUGCUUUAUUAUGCAGAAAAAAAAAUAAUUAGUUUCAAAUAUGAAAAGUCUGUUGAUACACUGCUUUGCAAUUCCAAAAGUGAUAAUGUGAUAAGUUUUGAUGUGAAUAUGUGACAUGUGCCAUUAUCAAUUUUCAUAAAUAAAAUCAAAUACAAA
Molecule: long non-coding RNA, 1057 nt
Organism: Saccostrea echinata
Lineage: Eukaryota; Metazoa; Mollusca; Bivalvia; Ostreida; Ostreidae
Exons: 3
Source: RefSeq, a predicted model, not a curated record